Molecule: transfer RNA, 77 nt
Filed under: Gammaproteobacteria bacterium
Lineage: Bacteria; Pseudomonadati; Pseudomonadota; Gammaproteobacteria
Also listed under: 3 other names
Description: tRNA-Arg
Rfam family: tRNA
About the family: Transfer RNA (tRNA) molecules are approximately 80 nucleotides in length. Their secondary structure includes four short double-helical elements and three loops (D, anti-codon, and T loops). Further hydrogen bonds mediate the characteristic L-shaped molecular structure. tRNAs have two regions of fundamental functional importance: the anti-codon, which is responsible for specific mRNA codon recognition, and the 3' end, to which the tRNAs corresponding amino acid is attached (by aminoacyl-tRNA synthetases). tRNAs cope with the degeneracy of the genetic code in two manners: having more than one tRNA (with a specific anti-codon) for a particular amino acid; and 'wobble' base-pairing, i.e. permitting non-standard base-pairing at the 3rd anti-codon position.
Source: RNAcentral
GCGCUCGUAGCUCAGCUGGAUAGAGUACCUGGCUACGAACCAGGCGGUCGUAGGUUCGAAUCCUACCGAGCGCGCCA